AUUCCAGCUCCAAUAGCGGAUGAUGAUUCUGCUGCAGUUAAAAAGCUCGUAGUUGAACUUUGCUUUAAACGUUGUGAGGGUAUUUCUUUCAUUAGAUUUACCAUCUCCUUCUGUUUUGGCUUUUGAAGUUUUUUUUUUAAAAUUACUUCCAUUUACUGUGAGGAAAUCUGAGUGCUCAAAGCAUUUAUUUGAAUGAAAGUUUCAGCAUGGAAUGAUAAGAUACGACCUGGUUGAUCUUGUUGGUUUUUCGAUAAGGUAAUGGUUAACAGAAACAGUUGGGGCGAUUCGUAUUGGAGCGUCAGAGGUGAAAUUCUUGGACCGCUUCAAGACGAACAACAGCGAAAGCAUUCCGCAAGGAUGUUUUCAUCA
RNAcentral lists this ribosomal RNA (369 nucleotides) under Eukaryota sp. RNAcentral's name for it is "partial small subunit ribosomal RNA". It matches the Rfam family "Eukaryotic small subunit ribosomal RNA", at positions 582 to 975 of the family's 1831-position model. The record is from RNAcentral.